UAUCAUUAACUGAAUCCAUAGGUUAAUGAGGCGAACCGGGGGAACUGAAACAUCUAAGUACCCCGAGGAAAAGAAAUCAACCGAGAUUCCCCCAGUAGCGGCGAGCGAACGGGGAGGAGCCCAGAGCCUGAAUCAGCAUGUGUGUUAGUGGAAGCGUCUGGAAAGGCGCGCGAUACAGGGUGACAGCCCCGUACACAAAAGCGCAUGUGCUGUGAGCUCGAUGAGUAGGGCGGGACACGUGGUAUCCUGUCUGAAUAUGGGGGGACCAUCCUCCAAGGCUAAAUACUCCUGACUGACCGAUAGUGAACCAGUACCGUGAGGGAAAGGCGAAAAGAACCCCGGCGAGGGGAGUGAAAAAGAACCUGAAACCGUGUACGUACAAGCAGUGGGAGCACAGGUUUACCUGUGUGACUGCGUACCUUUUGUAUAAUGGGUCAGCGACUUAUAUUCUGUAGCAAGGUUAACCGAAUAGGGGAGCCGGAGGGAAACCGAGUCUUAAUUGGGCGUUAAGUUGCAGGGUAUAGACCCGAAACCCGGUGAUCUAGCCAUGGGCAGGUUGAAGGUUGGGUAACACUAACUGGAGGACCGAACCGACUAAUGUUGAAAAAUUAGCGGAUGACCUGUGGCUGGGGGUGAAAGGCCAAUCAAACCGGGAGAUAGCUGGUUCUCCCCGAAAGCUAUUUAGGUAGCGCCUCGUGAAUUCAUCUCCGGGGGUAGAGCACUGUUUCGGCUAGGGGGCCAUCCCGGCUUACCAACCCGAUGCAAACUGCGAAUACCGGAGAAUGUUAUCACGGGAGACACACGGCGGGUGCUAACGUCCGUCGUGAAGAGGGAAACAACCCAGACCGCCAGCUAAGGUCCCAAAGUCAUGGUUAAGUGGGAAACGAUGUGGGAAGGCCCAGACAGCCAGGAUGUUGGCUUAGAAGCAGCCAUCAUUUAAAGAAAGCGUAAUAGCUCACUGGUCGAGUCGGCCUGCGCGGAAGAUGUAACGGGGCUAAACCAUG
RNAcentral lists this ribosomal RNA (1004 nucleotides) under Salmonella enterica subsp. enterica serovar Enteritidis. RNAcentral describes it as "partial 23S ribosomal RNA". It matches the Rfam family "Bacterial large subunit ribosomal RNA", at positions 149 to 1191 of the family's 2925-position model. The record is from RNAcentral. Lineage: Bacteria; Pseudomonadati; Pseudomonadota; Gammaproteobacteria; Enterobacterales; Enterobacteriaceae.